GCUGGGCUUGGUAGCAUGAGCCUAUAACCUGAGUGAGAGCAUUAAGAUGGUGGAACAAUUGGCCAUUCCCUGAAGGUUGGGCCUUGGUUGCAAUUUACUGGCUUGCCCGUUCCAAGUGGUGAGUUGUGUCGUGGAUUCUUUGCGAAGGCAGAGGCUUCCUGGUCCUUAGAUUGGAGGGCACCGCGUGAGGCUGGCUUUACAGAGCAACGGAAACCUUCUCCUCUCUACCGUGGAAGGAUAAUGGGCCGGUGCACAGCCCAAUAGAGCCCGUACAACAAUGAAAAGAUGAUACACAUUCU
RNAcentral lists this signal recognition particle RNA (299 nucleotides) under Ipomoea nil (Japanese morning glory). RNAcentral describes it as "Plant signal recognition particle RNA". It matches the Rfam family "Plant signal recognition particle RNA". The record is from Rfam by way of RNAcentral. Lineage: Eukaryota; Viridiplantae; Streptophyta; Magnoliopsida; Solanales; Convolvulaceae.